Molecule: long non-coding RNA, 519 nt
Organism: Sander lucioperca (pikeperch)
Lineage: Eukaryota; Metazoa; Chordata; Actinopteri; Perciformes; Percidae
Exons: 5
Source: RefSeq, a predicted model, not a curated record
AUCGUCGGUUGUCUUCUGUCGUGAGUCUUUGUGUGUUAGUUUCUUCCAGUGUCAGGUUUGAUUCACCUCGUCUUUUAAACCGUCUCCGAGUGAAGUAGACGAUGAUGAUGAGGAGGAGGAAGGAGACGACUACUCCAUACACCCAAAUAGGAAGUUGUUGAGGGACUUCAGGGUCAGCUGGAAGACAAAGUGGUGACGGUGAUGCUGAUCAUGAUGAUUAAAUAGAGGAUUCCAAUCACCGUACGAACACACAUCUGCCACGGGAAAGGAGUCUCUGGAAGACAAGAAACAUUCAGAAUCAGACCCUCGUCAGGUGGUGACGGUGAUGCUGAUCAUGAUGAUUAAAUAGAGGAUUCCAAUCACCGUACGAACACACAUCUGCCACGGGAAAGGAGUCUCUGGAAGACAAGAAACAUUCAGAAUCAGACCCUCGUCAGGUGGUGACGGUGAUGCUGAUCAUGAUGAUUAAAUAGAGGAUUCCAAUCACCGUACGAACACACAUCUGCCACGGGAAAGGAG